AUUGAACGCUGGCGACAUGCUUUACACAUGCGAGUCGAACGGCAGCACGGGUGCUUGCACCUGGUGGCGAGUGGCGAACGGGUGAGUAAUACAUCGGAACAUGUCCUGUAGUGGGGGAUAGCCCGGCGAAAGCCGGAUUAAUACCGCAUACGAUCUACGGAUGAAAGCGGGGGACCUUCGGGCCUCGCGCUAUAGGGUUGGCCGAUGGCUGAUUAGCUAGUUGGUGGGGUAAAGGCCUACCAAGGCGACGAUCAGUAGCUGGUCUGAGAGGACGACCAGUCACACUGGGACUGAGACACGGCCCAGACUCCUACGGGAGGCAGCAGUGGGGAAUUUUGGACAAUGGGCGAAAGCCUGAUCCAGCAAUGCCGCGUGUGUGAAGAAGGCCUUCGGGUUGUAAAGCACUUUUGUCCGGAAAGAAAUCCUUGGCCCUAAUACGGUCGGGGGAUGACGGUACCGGAAGAAUAAGCACCGGCUAACUACGUG
Molecule: ribosomal RNA, 486 nt
Filed under: uncultured bacterium
Lineage: Bacteria
Description: partial 16S ribosomal RNA
Rfam family: Bacterial small subunit ribosomal RNA
Source: RNAcentral